This 784-nucleotide ribosomal RNA is filed under the name uncultured Clostridia bacterium. Its description in RNAcentral is "bacterial SSU rRNA". It matches the Rfam family "Bacterial small subunit ribosomal RNA", at positions 64 to 869 of the family's 1533-position model. Lineage: Bacteria; Bacillati; Bacillota; Clostridia. The record is from RNAcentral.
AGAUGAUUUCUUCGGAAUGAACUUAAGUGGAUUAGUGGCGAACGGGUGAGUAACACGUGAGUAACCUGCCUUACACAAGGGGAUAGCCUCUGGAAACGGAGAAUAAUACCCUAUAAAGUCUAAUCAGCCCAUGCUGGAAAGACCAAAGAUUUAUCGGUGUAAGAUGGACUUGCGUCUGAUUAGCUAGUUGGUGAGAUAAAAGCUCACCAAGGCGACGAUCAGUAGCCGGCUUGAGAGAGUGUACGGCCACAUUGGGACUGAGACACGGCCCAAACUCCUACGGGAGGCAGCAGUGGGGAAUUUUGCACAAUGGGGGAAACCCUGAUGCAGCGACGCCGCGUGAUUUAGAAGGCCUUCGGGUUGUAAAAAUCUUUUUUACGGGAUGAAAAUGACAGUACCGUAAGAAUAAGGUCCGGCUAAAUACGUGCCAGCAGCCGCGGUAAUACGUAUGGACCGAGCGUUGUCCGGAAUCAUUGGGCGUAAAGGGUACGUAGGCGGCCUAGUAAGUUAGAAGUUAAAGAAUAUAGCUCAACUAUAUAAAGCUUUUAAAACUGCUAGGCUUGAGAGAUGGAAGGGAAAGUGGAAUUCCUAGUGUAGCGGUGAAAUGCGCAGAUAUUAGGAAGAAUACCGGUGGCGAAGGCGACUUUCUGGUCAUCAUCUGACGCUGAGGUACGAAAGCGUGGGUAGCAAACAGGAUUAGAUACCCUGGUAGUCCUACCGCUGUAAACGAUGAGUGUUAGGUUCUUGGAAUAAUCUGGGAGCCGCAGCUAACGCAUUAACACUC